UUAAGUGACUAAGCGUACACGGUGGAUGCCUUGGCAGUCAGAGGCGAUGAAGGACGUAUUAACUUGCGAUAAGCGUAGAUAAGGUAGUAAAAACCACUUGAGUCUACGAUUUCCGAAUGGGGAAACCCAGCUGCAGCAGCAGUUAUCAUCAGGUGAAUACAUAGCCUGAUGAGGCGAACCGGGAGAACUGAAACAUCUAAGUACCCCGAGGAAAAGAAAUCAACCGAGAUUCCGAGAGUAGCGGCGAGCGAAAUCGGAGUAGCCCUUAAGCUUUUGCAGCGUUAGGUGAAGUGUCUGGAAAGGCACGCAAUAGAGGGUGAUAGCCCCGUAACCGAAGGCGCUGUUUAGGUGAAAACGAGUAAGGCGGGACACGUGAUAUCCUGUCUGAACAUGGGGGACCAUCCUCCAAGGCUAAAUACUCCUGACUGACCGAUAGUGAACCAGUACCGUGAGGGAAAGGCGAAAAGAACCCCUGUGAGGGGAGUGAAAUAGAACCUGAAACCGUGUACGUACAAGCAGUAGGAGCCUCCUUUGUGGGGUGACUGCGUACCUUUUGUAUAAUGGGUCAGCGACUUAUAUUCAGUGGCGAGGUUAACCGAUUAGGGGAGCCGUAGCGAAAGCGAGUGUUAACUGCGCGUUCAGUCGCUGGAUAUAGACCCGAAACCGGGUGAUCUAGCCAUGGGCAGGUUGAAGGUUGAGUAACAUCAACUGGAGGACCGAACCGACUAAUGUUGAAAAAUUAGCGGAUGACUUGUGGCUAGGGGUGAAAGGCCAAUCAAACCCGGAGAUAGCUGGUUCUCCCCGAAAGCUAUUUAGGUAGCGCCUCGGACGAAUACUACUGGGGGUAGAGCACUGUUAAGGCUAGGGGGUCAUCCCGACUUACCAACCCUUUGCAAACUCCGAAUACCAGUAAGUACUAUCCGGGAGACACACGGCGGGUGCUAACGUCCGUCGUGGAGAGGGAAACAACCCAGACCGCCAGCUAAGGUCCCAAAUUACAGCUAAGUGGGAAACGAUGUGGGAAGGCUCAGACAGCUAGGAUGUUGGCUUAGAAGCAGCCAUCAUUUAAAGAAAGCGUAAUAGCUCACUAGUCGAGUCGGCCUGCGCGGAAGAUGUAACGGGGCUAAGCUGUAAACCGAAGCUGCGGCAAUGCUCGUGAGAGUAUUGGGUAGGGGAGCGUUCUGUAAGCCGUUGAAGGUGGAUUGUAAAGUCUGCUGGAGGUAUCAGAAGUGCGAAUGCUGACAUGAGUAACGAUAAAGGGAGUGAAAAACUCCCUCGCCGGAAGACCAAGGGUUCCUGUCCAACGUUAAUCGGGGCAGGGUAAGUCGACCCCUAAGGCGAGGCCGAAAGGCGUAGUCGAUGGGAAACGGGUUAAUAUUCCCGUACUUGUUGUGAAUGCGAUGGGGGGACGGAGAAGGCUAGGUGGGCCUGGCGACGGUCGUCCAGGUUCAAGUGCGUAGGCUGCAGAGUUAGGUAAAUCCGGCUCUGCGUUAGGCUGAGACACGAUGUCGAGCAUCUACGGAUGUGAAGUCAUUGAUGCCAUGCUUCCGGGAAAAGCCUCUAAGCUUCAGUUCACAAGAAAUCGUACCCCAAACCGACACAGGUGGUCGGGUAGAGAAUACCAAGGCGCUUGAGAGAACUCGGGUGAAGGAACUAGGCAAAAUGGUACCGUAACUUCGGGAGAAGGUACGCUCUUGACGGUGAAGUCCCUCGCGGAUGGAGCUGUUGGGAGUCGCAGAUACCAGGUGGCUGCAACUGUUUAUUAAAAACACAGCACUGUGCAAAAUCGUAAGAUGACGUAUACGGUGUGACGCCUGCCCGGUGCCGGAAGGUUAAUUGAUGGGGUUAGACUUCGGUCGAAGCUCUUGAUCGAAGCCCCGGUAAACGGCGGCCGUAACUAUAACGGUCCUAAGGUAGCGAAAUUCCUUGUCGGGUAAGUUCCGACCUGCACGAAUGGCGUAAUGAUGGCCACGCUGUCUCCACCCGAGACUCAGUGAAAUUGAAAUCGCUGUGAAGAUGCAGUGUACCCGCGGCUAGACGGAAAGACCCCGUGAACCUUUACUACAGCUUGGCACUGAACAUUGAACCUACAUGUGUAGGAUAGGUGGGAGGCUUUGAAGCGCAGUCGCUAGAUUGUGUGGAGCCAUCCUUGAAAUACCACCCUUGUAGUUUUGAUGUUCUAACUUUGGCCCGUUAUCCGGGUCGAGGACAGUGCCUGGUGGGUAGUUUGACUGGGGCGGUCUCCUCCCAAAGAGUAACGGAGGAGCACGAAGGUGGGCUAAACACGGUUGGACAUCGUGUGGUUAGUGCAAUGGCAUAAGCCCGCUUAACUGCGAGAAUGACAAUUCGAGCAGGUGCGAAAGCAGGUCAUAGUGAUCCGGUGGUUCUGAAUGGAAGGGCCAUCGCUCAACGGAUAAAAGGUACUCCGGGGAUAACAGGCUGAUACCGCCCAAGAGUUCAUAUCGACGGCGGUGUUUGGCACCUCGAUGUCGGCUCAUCACAUCCUGGGGCUGAAGUCGGUCCCAAGGGUAUGGCUGUUCGCCAUUUAAAGUGGUACGCGAGCUGGGUUUAGAACGUCGUGAGACAGUUCGGUCCCUAUCUGCCGUGGGCGUUGGAGAAUUGAAAGGGGCUGCUCCUAGUACGAGAGGACCGGAGUGGACGAACCACUGGUGUUCGGGUUGUGAUGCCAAUCGCAUUGCCCGGUAGCUAAGUUCGGGAUCGAUAACCGCUGAAAGCAUCUAAGCGGGAAGCGAGCCUUGAGAUGAGUUCUCCCUGGCGCUUAAAGCGUCCUGAAGGGUUGUUCGAGACUAGAACGUUGAUAGGCAGGGUGUGUAAGCGCUGUGAGGCGUUGAGCUAACCUGUACUAAUUGCCCGUGAGACUUAACCAU
RNAcentral lists this ribosomal RNA (2888 nucleotides) under Vibrio spartinae. RNAcentral describes it as "23S ribosomal RNA". It matches the Rfam family "Bacterial large subunit ribosomal RNA". The record is from RNAcentral. Lineage: Bacteria; Pseudomonadati; Pseudomonadota; Gammaproteobacteria; Vibrionales; Vibrionaceae.